UCAGGAUGAACGCUGGCGGCGUGCUUAACACAUGCAAGUCGAACGAUGAUCUCCAGCUUGCUGGGGGGAUUAGUGGCGAACGGGUGAGUAACACGUGAGUAACCUGCCCUUAACUCUGGGAUAAGCCUGGGAAACUGGGUNUAAUACCGGAUAUGACUCCUCAUCGCAUGGUGGGGGGUGGAAAGCUUUUUGUGGUUUUGGAUGGACUCGCGGCCUAUCAGCUUGUUGGUGAGGUAAUGGCUCACCAAGGCGACGACGGGUAGCCGGCCUGAGAGGGUGACCGGCCACACUGGGACUGAGACACGGCCCAGACUCCUACGGGAGGCAGCAGUGGGGAAUAUUGCACAAUGGGCGCAAGCCUGAUGCAGCGACGCCGCGUGAGGGAUGACGGCCUUCGGGUUGUAAACCUCUUUCAGUAGGGAAGAAGCGAAAGUGACGGUACCUGCAG
Molecule: ribosomal RNA, 448 nt
Filed under: soil bacterium 07G-11
Lineage: Bacteria
Description: bacterial SSU rRNA
Rfam family: Bacterial small subunit ribosomal RNA
Source: RNAcentral